UUACAAUCCGAAGACCUUCUUCACACACGCGGCAUGGCUGGAUCAGGCUUUCGCCCAUUGUCCAAUAUUCCCCA
RNAcentral lists this ribosomal RNA (74 nucleotides) under uncultured bacterium. RNAcentral describes it as "partial 16S ribosomal RNA". The record is from RNAcentral.